CGGACGGGUGAGUAACGCGUGAGAAUCUAACUUCAGGACGGGGACAACAGUUGGAAACGACUGCUAAUACCCGAUGUGCCGCAAGGUGAAAACUAAUUGGCCUGAAGAAGAGCUUGCGUCUGAUUAGCUAGUUGGUGGGGUAAGAGCCUACCAAGGCGACGAUCAGUAGCUGGUCUGAGAGGAUGAGCAGCCACACUGGGACUGAGACACGGCCCAGACUCCUACGGGAGGCAGCAGUGGGGAAUUUUCCGCAAUGGGCGAAAGCCUGACGGAGCAACGCCGCGUGAGGGAGGAAGGUCUUUGGAUUGUAAACCUCUUUUCUCAAGGAAGAAGUUCUGACGGUACUUGAGGAAUCAGCCUCGGCUAACUCCGUGCCAGCAGCCGCGGUAAUACGGGGGAGGCAAGCGUUAUCCGGAAUUAUUGGGCGUAAAGCGUCCGCAGGUGGUCAGCCAAGUCUGCCGUCAAAUCAGGUUGCUUAACGACCUAAAGGCGGUGGAAACUGGCAGACUAGAGAGCAGUAGGGGUAGCAGGAAUUCCCAGUGUAGCGGUGAAAUGCGUAGAGAUUGGGAAGAACAUCGGUGGCGAAAGCGUGCUACUGGGCUGUAUCUGACACUCAGGGACGAAAGCUAGGGGA
Molecule: ribosomal RNA, 634 nt
Filed under: uncultured cyanobacterium
Lineage: Bacteria; Bacillati; Cyanobacteriota
Description: bacterial SSU rRNA
Rfam family: Bacterial small subunit ribosomal RNA
Source: RNAcentral